RNAcentral lists this ribosomal RNA (379 nucleotides) under Adenomera hylaedactyla (Napo tropical bullfrog). Its description in RNAcentral is "partial 12S ribosomal RNA". The record is from RNAcentral. Lineage: Eukaryota; Metazoa; Chordata; Amphibia; Anura; Leptodactylidae.
CUUAUAGUCAAUUUUUACUUAAUUUACACAUGCAAGUAUCCGCGCCCCUGUGAAAACGCCCUUUAAUUCCUAACAGGAAUAAGGAGCCGGUAUCAGGCACAUCUAUACUGCCCAAAACACCUAGCUAUGCCACACCCACAAGGGACCUCAGCAGUGAUUAACAUUAAACAUCAGCGACAGCUUGAUUCAGUUAAAGUAAAUAGAGCCGGCUAAUCUGGUGCCAGCCGCCGCGGUUACACCACGUGGCUCAAAUUGACCAUUAUCGGCGUAAAGAGUGAUUUAAGAAUCCUAAUAAUUGGUGUCAAAUUUUUACUAAGCCGUAACACGCUUGCCUCUUAGAAGCCCUAGCACGAAAGUUACCCCAAUUCAAUCAACUUGA